This 253-nucleotide ribosomal RNA is filed under the name uncultured bacterium. RNAcentral describes it as "partial 16S ribosomal RNA". It matches the Rfam family "Bacterial small subunit ribosomal RNA", at positions 524 to 776 of the family's 1533-position model. The record is from RNAcentral.
UACAGAGGGUGCAAGCGUUGUUCGGAAUCAUUGGGCGUAAAGGGCGUGUAGGCGGUUUGUUAAGUCAUGUGUGAAAUCCCUCGGCUCAACCUGGGAACCGCGCUUGAGACUGGCACGCUAGAGUUCGGGAGAGGAUGGUGGAAUUCCCAGUGUAGAGGUGAAAUUCGUAGAUAUUGGGAAGAACACCGAUGGCGAAGGCAGCCAUCUGGACCGACACUGACGCUGAGGCGCGAAAGCGUGGGGAGCGAACAGG